This 447-nucleotide ribosomal RNA is filed under the name uncultured bacterium. RNAcentral's name for it is "partial 16S ribosomal RNA". It matches the Rfam family "Bacterial small subunit ribosomal RNA", at positions 328 to 792 of the family's 1533-position model. The record is from RNAcentral.
UGUCCAGACUCCUACGGGAGGCAGCAGUGGGGGAUAUUGCACAAUGGGGGGAACCCUGAUGCAGCGACGCCGCGUGGGUGAAGGAGCGUUUCGGCGCGUAAAGCCCUAUCGGCAGGGAAGAAGAUGGCGGUACCUGCCCAAGAAGCCCCGGCUAACUACGUGCCAGCAGCCGCGGUAAUACGUAGGGGGCAAGCGUUAUCCGGAUUUACUGGGUGUAAAGGGAGCGUAGGCGGUUAGAUAAGUCUGAUGUGAAAGCCCACAGCUUAACUGUGGGAUUGCAUUGGAAACUAUAGGACUAGAGUGUCGGAGAGGUAAGUGGAAUUCCUAGUGUAGCGGUGAAAUGCGUAGAUAUUAGGAGGAACACCAGUGGCGAAGGCGGCUUACUGGACGAUGACUGACGCUGAGGCUCGAAAGCGUGGGGAGCAAACAGGAUUAGAUACCCCAGUA